GACGUAGGGAGCGAGCGUUGUCCGGAAUUACUGGGCGUAAAGCGCGCGCAGGCGGCUCUUUAAGUCUACCCGUGAAAUGCCGGAGCUCAACUCCGUGCACGCCGGGGGAUACUGGAGAGCUGGAGACGAGUAGAGGCAAGCGGAAUUCCGGGUGUAGCGGUGGAAUGCGUAGAGAUCCGGAAGAACACCGGAGGCGAAGGCGGCUUGCUGGGCUUGGUCUGACGCUGAGGCGCGAAAGCGUGGGGAGCGAACAGG
RNAcentral lists this ribosomal RNA (255 nucleotides) under uncultured bacterium. RNAcentral's name for it is "partial 16S ribosomal RNA". It matches the Rfam family "Bacterial small subunit ribosomal RNA", at positions 524 to 776 of the family's 1533-position model. The record is from RNAcentral.